GGACGCAUGUUCCAAGGGCAGGCGAGGCUGCCUUGCAAGCAGCUUGCGAUGGGUUCGAUUCCCAUCGUCUCCA
Molecule: transfer RNA, 73 nt
Filed under: Planctomycetaceae bacterium SCGC AG-212-F19
Lineage: Bacteria; Pseudomonadati; Planctomycetota; Planctomycetia; Planctomycetales; Planctomycetaceae
Rfam family: tRNA
About the family: Transfer RNA (tRNA) molecules are approximately 80 nucleotides in length.
Source: Rfam by way of RNAcentral